AUCCAGCUGACUAGUCCCAAAUAGGACGAAACAAGCGGCCUGGAU
This 45-nucleotide non-coding RNA is filed under the name Schistosoma curassoni. The record is from RNAcentral. Lineage: Eukaryota; Metazoa; Platyhelminthes; Trematoda; Strigeidida; Schistosomatidae.